UACGUAGGGUGCAAGCGUUGUCCGGAAUUAUUGGGCGUAAAGAGCUCGUAGGCGGCUUGUCGCGUCGGCUGUGAAAACCUGGGGCUCAACCCUGGGCCUGCAGCCGAUACGGGCAAGCUAGAAUUCGGUAGGGGAGACUGGAAUUCCUAGUGUAGCGGUGAAAUGCGCAGAUAUCAGGAGGAACACCGAUGGCGAAGGCAGUGGGCUGGGCCGGCACUGACGCUGAGGAGCGAAAGCGUGGGGAGCGAACAGG
This 253-nucleotide ribosomal RNA is filed under the name uncultured bacterium. Its description in RNAcentral is "partial 16S ribosomal RNA". It matches the Rfam family "Bacterial small subunit ribosomal RNA", at positions 524 to 776 of the family's 1533-position model. The record is from RNAcentral.